ACUUUACGGGAUGAACAGAAAAAUAUAUAUGACGUUGCAAGCCACUAUUUUUAAUGUUCAAAAUAAAAAAAUUAGAUUGUGUUUUUUGAGUAAAUAAUAAUAAUUAAUAGCCCGCGGGAAUAAAUUCCUGGCUUUGUUUUUACGAAAUACCAGUAUAUAUAUGACGAUCCCAUUAACUCAUCAGCCAGUUGUCAUAUUAAUUGACUUUAAAUAAAUUUAAAAAAUGUUCAAAAUUACAAUUAUUUUGGCAAUUGUUAUAAUUGCGAUGAUAAAUAUUUUACAAGCUAAAUUGUGUAAUGAAAAAAAUGAAGGAUGUAAUGUUACGUAUUCAAAGUGCUGUCCUCCAUAUAUAUGCGACUUAGACUCUGGACUUUCAUUUAAAUGUAAAUAAUUAAUUUUAUAAAUAAUAGUAAUAAUGAAAAAUUAAAAUAACUAAGCCUGUAAAAAAUAAACAAUAAUAAAUGUAAAUAAAUAUUUUAUUCAAUA
Long non-coding RNA from Microplitis demolitor, 486 nucleotides. RefSeq lists it as uncharacterized. The record is from RefSeq and is a predicted model, not a curated record. Lineage: Eukaryota; Metazoa; Arthropoda; Insecta; Hymenoptera; Braconidae. The transcript is spliced from 4 exons.